Molecule: transfer RNA, 71 nt
Filed under: Sphaerulina populicola P02.02b
Lineage: Eukaryota; Fungi; Ascomycota; Dothideomycetes; Mycosphaerellales; Mycosphaerellaceae
Description: tRNA-Arg (TCT) (tRNA-Arg-TCT-1-1)
Rfam family: tRNA (bases 9-65)
About the family: Transfer RNA (tRNA) molecules are approximately 80 nucleotides in length. Their secondary structure includes four short double-helical elements and three loops (D, anti-codon, and T loops).
Source: RNAcentral
CUUAGUGCUGGCGCAAUGGUAGCGCGCGAGACUUCUAAUCUCGAGGCUGUGGGUUCGAGUCCCACGUAGGG